This 400-nucleotide unclassified non-coding RNA is filed under the name soil metagenome. Its description in RNAcentral is "partial contains 5.8S ribosomal RNA, internal transcribed spacer 2, and large subunit ribosomal RNA". The stretch from base 1 to 122 matches the Rfam family "5.8S ribosomal RNA", at positions 35 to 154 of the family's 154-position model. The record is from RNAcentral.
GAUGAAGAACGUAGCGAAAUGCGAUACUUGGUGUGAAUUGCAGAAUCCCGUGAACCAUCGAGUCUUUGAACGCAAGUUGCGCCUCAAUCCAUUAGGUUGAGGGCACGUCUGCCUGGGCGUCACAUAUCGUUGCCUGAUGCCAGUUUCCUCGUGAUGGGUGACUGUGCAGGGCGAAUGAUGGCUUCCCGUGAGCAUUGUUGCCUCAUGGUUGGUUGAAAAUUGAGUCCUUGGUAGGGAGCGCCGUGAUAGAUGGUGGUUGAGUGACGAACGAGACCCAAUCAUGUGAGACCCCUACCGAAUUUGGCCUUCAUGACCCACAUGCGUCUUUGGAACGCUCAUGACGAGACCUCAGGUCAGGCGGGGCUACCCGCUGAGUUUAAGCAUAUCAAUAAGCGGAGGA